GACGAACGCUGGCGGCGUGCUUAACACAUGCAAGUCGAACGGAAAGGCCCCCUUGUGGGGUACUCGAGUGGCGAACGGGUGAGUAACACGUGAGUAACCUACCCUUGACUUUGGGAUAACUUCAGGAAACUGGGGCUAAUACCGGAUAGGAGCUCCUGCUGCAUGGUGGGGGUUGGAAAGUUUCGGCGGUUGGGGAUGGACUCGCGGCUUAUCAGCUUGUUGGUGGGGUAGUGGCUCACCAAGGCUUUGACGGGUAGCCGGCCUGAGAGGGUGACCGGCCACAUGGGGAAGGAGAUGAGGGCGGGAACACGACGGGAGGGAGGAGUGGGGAAGAGUGCACAAUGGGCGGAGGCCGGAUGCAGCCACGCAGUGUGCGGGAGGACGGGCUUCGGGUAGGAAACCGAUGUCGCCGGUGAAGAAGCGAGAGGGACGGUAAUGGGUAAAGAAGCACCGGAUAACUACGUG
Molecule: ribosomal RNA, 465 nt
Filed under: uncultured bacterium
Lineage: Bacteria
Description: partial 16S ribosomal RNA
Rfam family: Bacterial small subunit ribosomal RNA
Source: RNAcentral